RNAcentral lists this transfer RNA (68 nucleotides) under Pseudocercospora fijiensis CIRAD86. Its description in RNAcentral is "tRNA-Thr (AGT) (tRNA-Thr-AGT-1-1)". The stretch from base 3 to 61 matches the Rfam family "tRNA", at positions 7 to 64 of the family's 71-position model. Rfam says of the family: Transfer RNA (tRNA) molecules are approximately 80 nucleotides in length. Their secondary structure includes four short double-helical elements and three loops (D, anti-codon, and T loops). Lineage: Eukaryota; Fungi; Ascomycota; Dothideomycetes; Mycosphaerellales; Mycosphaerellaceae. The record is from RNAcentral.
UCUUAGCUCAGGGGUAGAGCGCGUCACUAGUAAUGACGAGGCCAUUGGUUCGAUUCCAGUAUGUCUAU